Non-coding RNA from Danio rerio (zebrafish), 1602 nucleotides. The record is from Ensembl. Lineage: Eukaryota; Metazoa; Chordata; Actinopteri; Cypriniformes; Danionidae.
AUUACCGAGCCCCAUUCAAGCACUGCAGCAGAGAGCGUUGUCAUGGAAACGGAGCAACGACACGACACCUGACCGUCAACAGCACUUCUCUCAUGCGGCAGUUUUCACUAAUUUCAGAAGUGACAAAAUUACCCCUACAACAGAAGAGAAGAGCCAAGAUGAAGGGAGCUAAUCACUGAGCUGGAGGAAACACAGAUUUUGGAUCGUCCUCCACUCACUCUACCACUUUGUUUUUCCUUGCCAGACUUCAUUCAAGGAUAAGAAAGAAGCCUGCUACAAGAGAAACAGCGGAAGGGAGCCUCCAAGACAUUUUUAUUAGGAUCUGCUAAUCAUGAGGGGGCAGACAAAAGAACCUGCAUUUUCCUUCAGCUUAAUAUCAGGGGUCGCCACAGCGUAAGGAACUGGAUAUUACUUUGGCAUAUGUUUUACACAGCGGAUGGCCUUCCAGCUGCAACCCAGCACAGUGAAACACCCAUACACUCUCGUAUUCACAGACACUUCUACACUAUAUUCAAAUUUACCUAUAGCACAAGUGUUUGGACUGUGGUGGAAACCCACACCAAAACAGGGAGAACAUGCAAACUCCACACAGAAACGCCAGCAGACCCAACCGGGACUCAUACCAGCAACCUUUUUGCUGUGAGGUGACAGUCUGAGCCACUGGGCUGCCCCAGUGUAGUUAUUAAUAACCUGCAGAUGUUUUACUGUUUGAUUUUGUAAUAAUAAUGCACAUUUAGAUUUAUUGUAAUAUGUAUUUUAAAAUUUAUUCACAAUGUAAUUUAUUUUUAUGUUAUUUAUAAUAACGUUAAAUGUCAUAAGAAAGUUAUAAUUUAAUAUAAUAUUAUAAUAAAUAAUUAUAAUAAUGUUAAAAUAUAAAUAAUACAAAUUUAUUUAUAAUGUUUUUAAGUUUAUUUUUUUAAUGAGAAGUCUCAAAGUCUUCAAAGUUGUCUUUAUUAUAGAAAACUCAUUGUUGAAUGGCUACCACUUUACAAUAAGGUUGUAUGUAUUAGUUAAUGUAUUUACUAACAUAUUAAACAAUACAUUUAUUACAGUAUUCAUCUUUGCUAAUGUUGGUAAAUGGUAAAAGUUGUUAAUUGUUUAUUCAUGUUAACUCGCAAUGUAUUAACUAAUGUUAACAAGCAUGACUGCUUUUAUUAAUGCAUUAGUAAAUGCUGUACAUAAAUUAUGCUGUACAGGUAUUGUUCAUAUUAGUUCAUAUUUAAACCAUUAACAUUACUUAUAACAUUACUUAUAAAACUACUGUAAAAUGUAACUGUUGUAUGUAUGUUGUUAUAUUAUAUUUGUAUGUAUUUUAUAUGUAUUUAUUUAUUUUGUUAUAUUUGUUAACGUAUGUGAUUUCGAAACAUUUGAUUAUAAUCUAAGUGUUUAAUGUAUGUUCGUUAUGCAGUAUUAUAAAUAAAUGUUAUAAUGAUUAAGUAUUUUGUACUUGAUUUCAUUAUUGGACAUAUUUAUAUCGAAUACAAUUGUAAAGGCUAAUAUAAUAUUCAAAAAUGACAUGUGGACCGACCGUGGGCCGCCAGCGGACACUUAUUUAAAACCAGCGGUCCGAUGGCGGACCACCGUCGGAAAAGCGGCGGCAGC